Molecule: non-coding RNA, 145 nt
Filed under: Pararhodospirillum photometricum DSM 122
Lineage: Bacteria; Pseudomonadati; Pseudomonadota; Alphaproteobacteria; Rhodospirillales; Rhodospirillaceae
Description: Bacterial small subunit ribosomal RNA
Rfam family: Bacterial small subunit ribosomal RNA
Source: Rfam by way of RNAcentral
UCUGCGGUAUUCGGAGUUUGGUUAGGUUUGGUAACGAGAGGGCGCUAAUCUCCAAAAGAUGUCUCAGUUCGGAUUGCACUCUGCAACUCGGGUGCAUGAAGUCGGAAUCGCUAGUAAUCGUGGAUCAGCAUGCCACGGUGAAUAC